Molecule: small nucleolar RNA, 80 nt
Organism: Sciurus carolinensis (gray squirrel)
Lineage: Eukaryota; Metazoa; Chordata; Mammalia; Rodentia; Sciuridae
Product: small nucleolar RNA SNORD45
Exons: 1
Source: RefSeq, a predicted model, not a curated record
GGUCAAUGAUGUAUUGGCAUGUAUUACCUGAAUUUACUGCUGAUGUGUAAAGCUUAGCUCUAGAAUUACACUGAGACCUU